This 208-nucleotide long non-coding RNA is filed under the name Lathyrus oleraceus (garden pea). RNAcentral describes it as "Pisum sativum (pea) long non-coding RNA (PSAT_LNC038410)". Lineage: Eukaryota; Viridiplantae; Streptophyta; Magnoliopsida; Fabales; Fabaceae. The record is from RNAcentral.
GGCCUUCUUUUACUAUGGGAAGAAACAGCAUGAGUCUCCCCUUCCUUCUUUCUGGAAAAUCCUCUAUAUUUCUUUGCCGAAGAAUUAUCAUCACGGGACAGACGUCCUUCACGGGCUCCCUCUUCUAGCCUCAUCCCCAUAUUUACCAUUUCGGUAAAGUCCGAGGGAACACUAGCAAUCAUACGCUCAUAUUAGAAAGAGCUCAAAG